This 253-nucleotide ribosomal RNA is filed under the name uncultured bacterium. RNAcentral's name for it is "partial 16S ribosomal RNA". It matches the Rfam family "Bacterial small subunit ribosomal RNA", at positions 524 to 776 of the family's 1533-position model. The record is from RNAcentral.
UACGGAGGAUGCAAGCGUUAUCCGGAAUUAUUGGGCGUAAAGCGUCCGCAGGUGGCGAUGUAAGUCUGCUGUUAAAGAGUCUAGCUCAACUAGAUAAGAGCAGUGGAAACUACAUAGCUAGAGUACGUUCGGGGCAGAGGGAAUUCCUGGUGUAGCGGUGAAAUGCGUAGAGAUCAGGAAGAACACCAGUGGCGAAGGCGCUCUGCUAGGCCGUAACUGACACUGAGGGACGAAAGCUAGGGGAGCGAAUGGG